AGUACACAACAACCACAAGCAAAUGAAGCUUGAAGACGAGAUUGACGGCAGAUCGAUGGCAUCGACCACCAGAUCGAUGGCGAGAUCAACGACGACAGCAUGAACGACACGAACGAAGGCAAGAUCGAACGAUGGCACGACAGAGGCGAGAUGGAACGAUGAGAUUGAACAAGGAGAUGAACAGUGAGAACGAAUGCAAUUUCCUCAUUACUGAGCGAUCUGUUCAACGAUCAGGAGGAGCUUAGGCGAUUCUGGCAUUGAGAGCUACAUUUCCUACUGCUCAGUUUCUUAUUUCUAGCCGGUGUUCCAAGAGUUUCCUUGUGGUGCAAGGUACGAUUGGAUCUUUCGGUGAGUUGAGCAGUAUAAUUCUGAGGUAAGGGAAGC
Long non-coding RNA from Vigna radiata var. radiata (mung bean), 384 nucleotides. RefSeq lists it as uncharacterized. NCBI's taxonomy places the organism in Eukaryota, Viridiplantae, Streptophyta, Magnoliopsida, Fabales, Fabaceae. The record is from RefSeq and is a predicted model, not a curated record. The transcript has 3 exons.